CGUUGACCUCGAAUCAGGUAGGAAUACCCGCUGAACUUAA
This 40-nucleotide ribosomal RNA is filed under the name Engyodontium aranearum. RNAcentral's name for it is "Lecanicillium tenuipes partial 28S ribosomal RNA". Lineage: Eukaryota; Fungi; Ascomycota. The record is from RNAcentral. RNAcentral also lists the same sequence under 2 other names.